Cebus imitator (Panamanian white-faced capuchin) is the source of this 684-nucleotide long non-coding RNA. RefSeq lists it as uncharacterized. The record is from RefSeq and is a predicted model, not a curated record. The transcript has 3 exons. Lineage: Eukaryota; Metazoa; Chordata; Mammalia; Primates; Cebidae.
UGGGUGGAGACUCAGGGUGCCUCAUCUUGAGUCAUCUGGAAUAGAAGCCUGGAACCUGUGCAGCAAACACCCAGGGUGUGAACAUGGGCGUGGGGCCAUCGUGAGGAACAGGCAUUUCUGCUGUCACACAGCAUAUGACUGUUUCUGAAAAAUCCUCACACUCUGCAACACCACACACCAAACCAACAAGGUCCAUGGGAAAAAGAGAGCUGGGGCAGGCCACUCAAUUCCGAUGCAACUUUCUACCCUGUUCCUCAGAGGUGCAAACAUCACGCUGGGAAAAACGUCAUGCAUGAACCAACGUGACUUCCAUCUCAUAGUGACAUCAUUCUCUUCUGUUCCAAUUGCCUAUCAGCAAGUAUGAGUUAGAGGAAAUGUGCUGUAACAAACAGCCUAUUUCAAUAUCCUCUCAUUGCCUACUCACUUAAAUGUCAGUGUUCUCACCAAAUAACUAAUAAGAACAUGGGCCGCAUGAAAGAUGAUCUUUUAUGAAGGCUAUUUGUCAUCAUGUCAUCCUUUUAAUAGCCUUAGGGAUUCUGUUCAGUCUCCGUGUUAAGAAGAGCAAGUUACAAGCAGGUUUUAACGCUUGUUCAAGAGGCCACCAAUGUAAUCACAGCUAGAAGUGAGUGUUCAGGCUUACAAGUGCACAUGCAGUAAAGCGUCUCACAUAUUACAUUUCAAAUA